Oryza sativa Japonica Group (Japanese rice) is the source of this 2627-nucleotide long non-coding RNA. RefSeq lists it as uncharacterized. The record is from RefSeq and is a predicted model, not a curated record. NCBI's taxonomy places the organism in Eukaryota, Viridiplantae, Streptophyta, Magnoliopsida, Poales, Poaceae.
CUAAUCUUCCUAUCCUUUGCAUAGCGUCGUACUCUCCCCCUGCGAAGAAAGAAAAAGCUUUUUCUUUUUCCUCCCGGCAAACCCUAGAUCGGCGCCGCCGCCGCCGCCACCGGGGUACUCUCCCCGGCCGGCCAGCCCCCGUCGAUUCGGCUCUCUGGAAGGCUGGCACACCGGAUCCGCGACGUCGGGGGAUGGUGUUCUGCUCUCGCCGUGGGGGAGAGUGUCCGGCGCCGGCCGGUGCGCUGGAGAAGUGGAAAUCGAUCUCCUCGCCGGCCGGCGGCGGCGGCGGCUUUUCUUCGCCGGAUGUAUCCGGUGACGGUUAUUUGAUUCUUGUCUCUGUUUUCUCUUUUUUUUCCUUGUAUGUAUAAACGAUUUAUUUUCUCAAGAUAGAGAGGAAAAGCUCUGUAUGCUGUUCUUCCGAUGGAUAGCGACCGUGCGCUUGUUGGAGCGGCCAAAGGCGCCGGCUUUUCCGCCGGUAUGGUCUUGUCGCAUAUGACAUCCGCCUGCGAUUGGUGAUGCCUCAUGAGGUCAACUCUUUUUUUUUUGUCGAGAGUAUUUGAUUUGAAGGGGACUAUUUUUUCGAGAGGAUUUGGACUUGAAGAGAAUGAGGACGUGCGAUGAUUGAAGUUUCGGGACCUGAAUCUCAGUCGGGAUGGUCAUUAGGCGAGAGAAUUACAAAGUGAUUAUAAUCAUUAUAUGGCGUGAUUUGUAGGUCCAGAGAUCCGUAUUUCUGUGGCUUGAGAAGCAUCAUGCUGUUCGGACUUUAUUGGAAGUUGUCAUUAUAUUUUGUUGGCAUAUCACUGGCAAUAUACAAGUGUUAUUACAGAGUGAACUAAAAUGGAGAUGGUCAUUCUAUUGUUCUGUAUUUAUCAUGCGGAUUUUGCUCGCGCACAAGGAUUUUGAAAGCAUGUUCAUCUUACAAGUUGGAGAAUAUUUUCCUUUCAUGUCCAUAUUAUUUGCCAGCACCGUGCACAGACAAGUCGUUGUUAACAAUGGAGGUUGUCCAAUCAUCACGGAACUCCUUUUCAUGUGAUGCUACGUGGCAAGAACACAAAUAGAUAUGCAAUGUUGGGUAACAUAACAAAGAACAUUAUGUGAGAAGAUUUCUCUAUGGUUCCUAGUUGGAUGAGCUGGAAUUAUGUGAGAAGAAUAUUGUGGUCUUCGGGCUGUUCGCUGCUUUCUGCUAGAGAAGUUUGGAAGUAUCUACAGUUAUUUUGUGGUAAAGGAGAAUUGUUGGGUGGUGAGUUUUAUGCAGCGAAGGAGAUCGAACAUGACAUCCUAUGAGGUUUGCUGGGAAAGGAAAUUUAAAUAAAAAACAUAUAGUGAUUCUUCUCAGAAUUGGUUCGAGUUGUAUACUUUGCUCUCAAUGGAAUUAUGGCAGAAGCCCACUGGCUAUAAAUUGAUGCAAUCAGAAGCUACUUCUAGUGCUACCUAUUUAAUUAGUGCGGAUUGGACUAUAACAGAGAGCUGCAAAUUAUCAUACAAAAUAACACUUGAAGAUGGUGAAGUAGAUGUGUACUGGUUGAAUACUAUGGGCCAAGAAUUCUUGUAUGAACAAUUGAUAUUCCACAAAGAGGAGUUCGCUACAGUUUGGGUUUAUCAAAGUACUAGUUUUAUCAAAAGUAAGGGCAGUGGCAGGGUUGUCACCAUUGCAGCAAGUACCUCAUUUACCAACUCUAUACCAUUGCCACUACAGUAUUGGAAUUAUGGGUCUGUGUGGAAAUUACAGUUCUGUUGUAUGGUCUUUCUGAUCAGUGUCAAACAAGCUUGCGGCGCCUAUGGAUAUCUUGGAUGAAAACUUGGAAGAAUCUGAUCCAGCAAGAUGAAAGAUGUGGCCUGUUCAUUCAAAAUAUGUUCAGAGGCUGUGUAAAUCAAAUGGAUGAAUUGUGUCUUAGUGCACCUGAUCUACAAAUGCCAUGGGAUCCUGGUGGUUUAUGUUUACUCAAGUUUCUAGCUAUCUCUUCUCUUGGACAAAUCACAUUUCAGGCAGUCAAAUUCUCAUUGCAAGACAGUUCUCUCUUUCACAUGCGAAGUGCCAGGAUUUGCUUGAGCUGUUCUUUUGAGAUGCAAGUUUUCUGUUGGCACGCUGAAAACAAAUUGGACAUUAAUGAAGCUUUUGGAACGAUGCAAGAAUACUAGAGAAAUCAAAGUGGAGGUUUGCCAUUUCUGAAGUUUACUUGUCAUCAACUUAUGGACAAGUCAGUUUCAAGGAGAGGAGAUUGUCAGGAACCCAUUGGGCUGCACAUGGGCUGACUCAAUUGCUAAUCCAUGCCAAGGGCCAAACAAACAAAGGAGAGGGAUACAAAAGGCAGCAGCAGGAGAACUUCAAGCAACGAACAGAUCAGGCAUCAGCGGCUUCGGCCACGGCGGCGGCUUGGUUCGGUUGAACCUCGUCGAUCUCUAUCUCUUUCUUACUCUCUCGUGUUCCUCUUCACUGCCAUUUCUAGAAGCUUCCUCUACUUCUUCUCACUCAAUUUCUCUUCUAUUCUCUGAGUUUGUAUUGAAUUCUAUUGUUCUUGAGAACAAUUAGUUUGGAGGAAGAGGGUUGUUAACAAUGGCAGACAAAAUUAAACAAUUCGCACAUGCUCAAGACUGAGAUGCAGAAAAAUAUUGCUAAUAUCAUAUAA